GGCGUUCGAGCGAGCGAGAGAGAGAGCGCGGCAAUUUUCCCCUGAAGUUCGGUUGUUGGAGACUUAAUAUACGCUGUAUAUAGGCCCACACUAACUUUUUCCCAUUUUUUUUCUUUCAAGUCUAACGGUGUUUGUUAGCGUGAAAGUAGACAUUGUCUGUGUGUUUCGGUUCUGUGAGGAGCUCCAGCUCCAGGCUGUAUCGCUAAACUGGCUGCUUCUCAACGAAGAGGACUGAACUCUCCACGCUGCUGCUGUGUGGAUGGACAAAGAGGACCAGAGUCUUAACAAAGAUCAUCGCAUUUUGUGUGAGACGCGAGUAGGUGCUUGUGGGCGCUUCGGCUCAUCUCCAUAUGAGUCAUGGACUUUCAUGCUGUCCUGCAGCAGGUGUCACUAUGUUCUGCUGUUACAGCUGCUGACAGUCAUAGCUGGCUCUUUUCCUUCAGUAAAGGUGAAUCUUCAUGAUGCUGCUACUCUCCCCUGCACUCAGACAUGUUCUGGUCUGGUCACAUGGACUGUGUCCUAUAAACAACUUGACAUUCUGGCUCAGUGUAACCAGACAUCCUGCCAGUCAGGGGAGGGAUUUCACAUGUCCCAUGAUCAGUACCUGAAGGGAGAUCUCUCCCUCACCAUCACUGAUGCCGAUUACACUAAGAAGACCUGGUACACCUGCAGCUGUAAUGGGAAAGACAUCUGUGAUGUGAGUCUACAGAUAGAGGCCCAGAAUUCCUCAAUUCAGAUUAAGCCUGGUGAACCUCUGGUGCUGGAUUUGCUCAUGUCAGAGUCAGUUGAGGUGAUUUAUAACAGCAAAGGUGCAGCUGCUCCCUCUAGUGGACAGAUCUGUACAGUGGCUGGACACUCACUGAAGUGUAAACCUGAAUACACUCGGAGAGUGUCGCUCAUCUCUGCUGUGGAGCUGCAAGGAACCACACCAUCUGAUAGUGGAGUUUACAGCAUCAGAGACACUAAGAAUGAAGAGAUUAUACAGACAUACACAGAUACUGUGGAAGAUGUCCAGCCAUGUCCAGAUCAGAGCUCCACAGUGACGGUGUUGACGGUGCUCCUGGCUCUGACGGGGGCGGGGCUUGUGGCAGCAGUGCUGGUGAUUGUGCAGCUGAGGAAAAAAAUUCAGGAGCUCUAGAAAGGAAGUACAGUGAAUGGAACAGUAACCAUGACAACAGAGGAGUUAAUAUGAAUGGACUAAACCACUCAGAUGAAGAGCAGAGGUGAUCUCCCAAUAAUAACCAUGAGAGUCUGAGAGAUGAUAAAUUAUUUCGUUCUCUUUUACACACACACAAACGUAUCUGCACUGCUUUUCUCUGUCCCAUUCAGGGGUCAAAGAUCAGUGUAUGUUCAGUCAUGCAUGAUCAGAGUUUUAUCACAUUAGCUCUGCUGAAGCUCACCUGGUAGAGCAGGUACAGUAAGAUUUGAUCCUCAGAGAGCACACAUGCUGUCAUACUGAUGAAUAUGUAUCAGUCACUAUAAGAGGAUCUGCCCAGUACUGUAAAUGUAAUGUAAAGAUGUUUAUUUAAAUAUUACUGUGAGAUCCUGUGAUGUGAUUUAAUGCACGUUAAAUACUUUUGUGUUAGCUCAUGGAAAAAACGGACAUUUUGUCUGGAGCAUCUUUGAAUAGUUUAAAUAUUUUAGUUGCCAUUUGUCAACAUGUUUUAAUUAAGAGUCCCCCUUAUUGUUCAGGUUAUAAUUUCAAGAGUCUCCCUUAUUGUUCAGGUUAUAAUUUCAAUAGUCUCCCAUGUGGUCUUGGUGAUUAUGGUCAGUUGUUGUGGUUGGUUUUCCCAAUGCUGUAAUGCUGCAUUCAUUUCAAAGCAUUGUAUUAUGGAAACAGGCCUCAUGUCAUUUGGCCUGCUUCAUGCCACUUGUGACAAAUCAUUAAACAAAUUUACUUGUGUUAUCUUUGUCCAAUAUUUAAAACACAAAAUGCAGUUUUUAAAUGAAGGUUUUUAUUAUUAACGAGAAAAUAAAUAGGACCUGCGAGACAAAGUGAAGUAGACCAAAAGAUCCUUAAAACUAGACAGCAUGCUGCGAGCCAAAGAAAUUCAGAAACUCAUCGUCUUACUUUCAGAUAUGUAAUGAGCAUUGAUUUAGGCAGAAAUUCACCAGGACACUUCACAACACAGUUAGUAAUGCUAUAAAAUGUCAUUUAAGAUAUAAUUG
Long non-coding RNA from Electrophorus electricus (electric eel), 2169 nucleotides. Lineage: Eukaryota; Metazoa; Chordata; Actinopteri; Gymnotiformes; Gymnotidae. The record is from Ensembl.